GCGGGCCUGCAGGGUGCUGUGAGGAGAGGCCAGUUCCAGCGGCCCCAUCACAGGGCAGGCCUGGGCCCAGCAGCUCAGGGGAAAUAUGUCUGAAAAAGGGUGAAACUACCCAGCAGUGAGGGGAAAACAAGUGCAGGGAAUGGCCCUGUGGCACUAGGGUCAGGGCAGGAGGCAGCGGGAGGUGCUCCAGGCCCGGGGCUCCCUGCAGCCUGUGGAGAAACCAUGUUGGAGCCGGGGGAUGUGCCCUGAAGGAACUGCAGCCCAUGGAAAGGAGCCCGUGUUGGAGCAGUCUGUGAAGGCCUGCGGCCCAUGGAGGAGCCAGCAUGGAGCAGGGCAUGAGUGUGGAGAAAGGAGCAGCAGGGAGGAGCUGUUAUGCACUGACCAUGGCCACCAUGCCUUUCCCCUGCGCCACACGGUGUGAGGGAGGAGGCAGAGGAGUUGGGAAUGGAGUGAAGUUGAUCCUGGGGCGUCUUUUGCAGGAUGAGCAAAUGGAGCAGAAUUAUUACCUGAGUGGAGGAGAGAAAAGUUCUUAAAGACAGCCUGCAAGGUUCUGAUGAUAUUAUGCCACUGGAAAUACGAAAAUUUACCCGACAUCUUAUGUUACCAGAACUGAACUUGGGGCAGAUGACAAACUAAACAAACCUGUCAAUUUAGCCAAAUGUGAGUACUCCAAUAUAAAUAUUUGCAAGCAUUUCUUGAAGAGGUAUCAAUAUUGUCCAAAAUCUACAAGCAAAACACCUCAAAAAAUUGUCACAUGGAGGGUAAUGUCAGGAGGUUUAAUUCCACAACUGAGUUUUUUUCACAGUGGUCUAAAGCCUGCAGAAGGUGAAUAGGGGUGGUGGUGUAUUCAGAUCUUGUGCUACUUUGAAAAUCCUCCCCAAGAUUUUUGCUUUCAGGAAAACCAGACAAACCCAAUAAAACAAGCAGGGCUCCACGCCUGCCUCAG
This is a long non-coding RNA of Cygnus olor (mute swan), 946 nucleotides long. RefSeq lists it as uncharacterized. The record is from RefSeq and is a predicted model, not a curated record. Lineage: Eukaryota; Metazoa; Chordata; Aves; Anseriformes; Anatidae. The transcript is spliced from 3 exons.